AUUUCAUAAAUUUAAAGAAUUGUAAAGAGUGAUUUAGUGAACAUUUUUCAUUAAGGAACCCAUAGUUAGAAAUGUGAAAUAGCAGCUCCACACCCUUAAUAGGAUUGGAGGUUAUGCCACUUCUAAUCAUUGGAAAUAAAAAGGAUGGAAUAAUGCAAACAAACAGAACUAUUUCUUUUUACAUUAGCAAAUGUUCAAAGUGAUAUCUGCUAACUUCAUUAGUAUGUGUGUGCAACAACAAAUCAUGUUUUUUUUUAAUAUUUGGAAGAUUUCACUCACUUCUGGUGCUAUGAAAUGCUGUGGAAGAUGUGUUCAUGAAGCUUACCCACUGUUUUCACCAGUGUUUUGUAGACAGUAUUCUUCACAUAUCUUUCAUUUUAUUCUCUGUCAUAAGGACAGGAAAUCAGGCAAUUCAUAGCACUGUGAAACCACUGUUUUACAUUUCUGACUGGGUUUCUUAAUGAAAAAUGUUCACUGUCAGUCUUUACAAUUCUUUG
Molecule: long non-coding RNA, 497 nt
Filed under: Androctonus crassicauda
Lineage: Eukaryota; Metazoa; Arthropoda; Arachnida; Scorpiones; Buthidae
Source: RNAcentral